GAUGAAGAACGCAGUGAAAUGCGAUAAGUAAUGUGAAUUGCAGAAUUCAGUGAACCAUCGAAUCUUUGAACGCACAUUGCGCCCGGCAGUAAUCUGCCGGGCAUGCCUGUCCGAGCGUCAUUUCUCCCCUCGAGCGCAGCUUUCCCCCCCGGGGGAGGGCCGCGCCCGGUGUUGGGGCGCUACGGAGGAGCCCAGCGCUCCCCCGUAGGCCCCGAAAUGUAGUGGCGGUCCCGCCGCGGCGCCCCCUGCGUAGUAGUUUUACAACUCGCAUCGGGUCCCGGCGGAGGCCAGCCGUCAAACCCCCCAACUUCAAUAGUUCGACCUCGGAUCAGGUAGGGUUACCCGCUGAACUUAAGCAUAUCAAUAAGCGGAGGA
RNAcentral lists this unclassified non-coding RNA (375 nucleotides) under soil metagenome. RNAcentral describes it as "partial contains 5.8S ribosomal RNA, internal transcribed spacer 2, and large subunit ribosomal RNA". The stretch from base 1 to 120 matches the Rfam family "5.8S ribosomal RNA", at positions 35 to 154 of the family's 154-position model. The record is from RNAcentral.